GACGAACGCUGGCGGCGUGCUUAACACAUGCAAGUCGAGCGGUAAGGCCCUUUCGGGGGUACACGAGCGGCGAACGGGUGAGUAACACGUGGGUGACCUGCCUCUAGCUCUGGGAUAAGCCCGGGAAACUGGGUCUAAUACUGGAUAUGACUCCAUGACGCAUGUUGUGGGGUGAAAGCCUUGUGCGGCUAGAGAUGGGCCCGCGGCCUAUCAGCUUGUUGGUGGGGGAUGGCCUACCAAGGCGACGACGGGUAGCCGGCCUGAGAGGGCGACCGGCCACACUGGGACUGAGACACGGCCCAGACUCCUACGGGAGGCAGCAGUGGGAAUCUUGCGCAAUGGGCGAAAGCCUGACGCAGCGACGCCGCGUGA
RNAcentral lists this ribosomal RNA (372 nucleotides) under uncultured bacterium. RNAcentral describes it as "bacterial SSU rRNA". It matches the Rfam family "Bacterial small subunit ribosomal RNA", at positions 28 to 404 of the family's 1533-position model. The record is from RNAcentral.